GUGUCAGCAGCCGCGGUAAUACGUAGGGUGCGAGCGUUAAUCGGAAUUACUGGGCGUAAAGCGUGCGCAGGCGGUGAGUUAAGUCUGCUGUGAAAGCCCCGGGCUCAACCUGGGAAUGGCAGUGGAAACUGGCUCGCUGGAGUAUGGCAGAGGGGGGUGGAAUUCCGCGUGUAGCAGUGAAAUGCGUAGAGAUGCGGAGGAACACCGAUGGCGAAGGCAGCCCCCUGGGCCAAUACUGACGCUCAGGCACGAAAGCGUGGGGAGCAAACAGGAUUAGAUACCCUGGUAGUCC
This 292-nucleotide ribosomal RNA is filed under the name uncultured bacterium. Its description in RNAcentral is "partial 16S ribosomal RNA". It matches the Rfam family "Bacterial small subunit ribosomal RNA", at positions 505 to 796 of the family's 1533-position model. The record is from RNAcentral.